RNAcentral lists this ribosomal RNA (497 nucleotides) under uncultured bacterium. RNAcentral's name for it is "partial 16S ribosomal RNA". It matches the Rfam family "Bacterial small subunit ribosomal RNA", at positions 28 to 507 of the family's 1533-position model. The record is from RNAcentral.
GAUGAACGCUGGCGGCGUGCCUAAUACAUGCAAGUCGAGCGAACAGACGAGGAGCUUGCUCCUCUGACGUUAGCGGCGGACGGGUGAGUAACACGUGGAUAACCUACCUAUAAGACUGGGAUAACGUCGGGAAACCAGAGCUAAUACCGGAUAAUAUAUUGAACCGCAUGGUUCAAUAGUGAAAGACGGUUUUGCUGUCACUUAUAGAUGGAUCCGCGCCGCAUUAGCUAGUUGGUAAGGUAACGGCUUACCAAGGCAACGAUGAGUAGCCGACCUGAGAGGGUGAUCGGCCACACUGGAACUGAGACACGUUCCAGACUCCUACGGGAGGCAGCAGUAGGGAAUUUUCCGCAAUGGGCGAAAGCCUGACGGAGCAACGCCGCGUGAGUGAUGAAGGUCUUCGGAUCGUAAAACUCUGUUAUCAGGGAAGAACAACUGUGUAAGUAACUAUGCACGUCUUGACGGUACCUAAUCAGAAAGCCACGGCUAACUACGUG